RNAcentral lists this long non-coding RNA (324 nucleotides) under Helianthus annuus (common sunflower). RNAcentral's name for it is "hypothetical non coding rna". The record is from RNAcentral. Lineage: Eukaryota; Viridiplantae; Streptophyta; Magnoliopsida; Asterales; Asteraceae.
UUGGGGAUGAAGCGGGUCAAACGGAGCAAGUACGGAAAGAAAAGCGUGGCAUGGAUGCAAGGAUGAACGGCUCGGAAAUUAGCGAAGCUAUGAAAUAGCAAAUAAAUGAAGACAAGGUAUUAAAAUGGGUCAAUAUGUUGAUCCGAGCCAGGUAAACUUUAGUAAGCUUACGGAUGAAGAUCAAGCUCGUUGAAGGACCGAACACAAUGCAGUUACAAGCUUCCGCACAUAGUUUAGUCGUUAUUUCUAAACGGCAAAUUUUUACCAAUCAUGAUGUAACGUUAUAAAAUUUAGAAAAGUUUUAAUUAACUUGUAUUCUUAAUU